Molecule: ribosomal RNA, 1130 nt
Filed under: uncultured Polaribacter sp.
Lineage: Bacteria; Pseudomonadati; Bacteroidota; Flavobacteriia; Flavobacteriales; Flavobacteriaceae
Description: bacterial SSU rRNA
Rfam family: Bacterial small subunit ribosomal RNA
Source: RNAcentral
GCUCAGGAUGAACGCUAGCGGCAGGCUUAACACAUGCAAGUCGAGGGGUAACAUUGUGCUUGCACAGAUGACGACCGGCGCACGGGUGCGUAACGCGUAUAGAACCUCCUUUUACAGAGGAAUAGGCUUUAGAAAUGAAGAUUAAUGCCUCAUAGUAUUAACGAAUCGCAUGAUUUGUUACUUAAAGAUUUAUCGGUAAAAGAUGGCUAUGCGUCCUAUUAGUUAGUUGGUAAGGUAACGGCUUACCAAGACGGCGAUAGGUAGGGGUCCUGAGAGGGAGAUCCCCCACGCUGGUACUGAGACACGGACCAGACUCCUACGGGAGGCAGCAGUGAGGAAUAUUGGGCAAUGGAGGAGACUCUGACCCAGCCAUGCCGCGUGUAGGAAGAAUGCCCUAUGGGUUGUAAACUACUUUUAUACAGGAAGAAACACUGGUAUGUAUACCAGCUUGACGGUACUGUAAGAAUAAGGACCGGCUAACUCCGUGCCAGCAGCCGCGGUAAUACGGAGGGUCCGAGCGUUAUCCGGAAUCAUUGGGUUUAAAGGGUCCGCAGGCGGUCAAUUAAGUCAGAGGUGAAAUACCGUCGCUCAACGACGGAACUGCCUUUGAUACUGGUUGACUUGAGUCAUAUGGAAGUAGAUAGAAUGUGUAGUGUAGCGGUGAAAUGCAUAGAUAUUACACAGAAUACCGAUUGCGAAGGCAGUCUACUACGUAUGUACUGACGCUCAUGGACGAAAGCGUGGGGAGCGAACAGGAUUAGAUACCCUGGUAGUCCACGCCGUAAACGAUGGAUACUAGUUGUUGGGCAUUAGCUCAGUGACUAAGCGAAAGUGAUAAGUAUCCCACCUGGGGAGUACGGUCGCAAGACUGAAACUCAAAGGAAUUGACGGGGGCCCGCACAAGCGGUGGAGCAUGUGGUUUAAUUCGAUGAUACGCGAGGAACCUUACCAGGGCUUAAAUGUAGUCUGACAGCUUUAGAGAUAGAGUUUUCUUCGGACAGAUUACAAGGUGCUGCAUGGUUGUCGUCAGCUCGUGCCGUGAGGUGUCAGGUUAAGUCCUAUAACGAGCGCAACCCUUGUCGUUAGUUGCCAGCAUGUAAUGAUGGGGACUCUAACGAGACUGCCUACGC